This 459-nucleotide ribosomal RNA is filed under the name uncultured bacterium. RNAcentral's name for it is "partial 16S ribosomal RNA". It matches the Rfam family "Bacterial small subunit ribosomal RNA", at positions 338 to 795 of the family's 1533-position model. The record is from RNAcentral.
CCUACGGGCGGCAGCAGUGAGGAAUAUUGGUCAAUGGUCGGGAGACUGAACCAGCCAAGCCGCGUGAGGGAUGAAGGUACAGAGUAUCGUAAACCUCUUUUGUCAGGGAACAAAGGCGGGGACGUGUCCCCGGAUGAGUGUACCUGAAGAAAAAGCAUCGGCUAACUCCGUGCCAGCAGCCGCGGCAAUACGGAGGAUGCGAGGGUUAUCCGGUUUUAUUGGGUUUAAAGGGUGCGCAGGCGGUCUGUUCAGUCAGCGGUCAAAGCCCGGGGCUCAACCCCGGCCCGCCGUUGAAACUGGCAGUCUUGAGGUGGAGAGAAGUAUGCGGAAUGCGCGGUGUAGCGGUGAAAUGCAUAGAUAUCGCGCAGAACUCCGAUUGCGAAGGCAGCAUGCCGGCUCCACACUGACGCUGAGGCACGAAAGCGUGGGUAUCGAACAGGAUGAGAUACCCGAGUAGUC